UGUCUACUAUAUUAUACUGCACUAUACUAC
RNAcentral lists this non-coding RNA (30 nucleotides) under Rattus norvegicus (Norway rat). The record is from RNAcentral. Lineage: Eukaryota; Metazoa; Chordata; Mammalia; Rodentia; Muridae.